Long non-coding RNA from Gasterosteus aculeatus (three-spined stickleback), 996 nucleotides. NCBI's taxonomy places the organism in Eukaryota, Metazoa, Chordata, Actinopteri, Perciformes, Gasterosteidae. The record is from Ensembl.
AUGCCGCGUUUGUGGAACACACUGAUUAGCACCGCUGAGGGAGGCGGGCUGCUCCCUGCAGGAGAACGUGAUGGUGUCUCUGGCCAACGCGCGCCUUCUGCUUCCUGUGUUCCAGCUGGAGAGGAGGAAGUGGCAGCUGGAGAGGAGGAAGUGGCAGCUGAGGAGGCCGGCGAAGAGGAGGCUGCCGCUGAUGGCGAAGGAGAGACCGUAGCCGAGGUCGUGGCCGAGGUUGCAGAGGUCGUCGCUGAGGCGGCGGAGGAGGUCGCCGAGGCGGCAGAGGAAGUUACAGAGGUCGCUCGUGAAGUGGAGGCGGUCGCGGGAGAGGUGGCUAAGGCGGCCGAAGCCGCCCCCCAAGCCGCCGCAGAACCAGCCGCCGAGGAGCCCGACAGCAACGUGCCGCUGGCUGCUGCUUCUGCUCUAGAAGUACCAAAGAUCAUUGAAGUGACGGAAGAGUUAGCCGCAGCCAUUCAGGACAUCGAUGAGUCCCUUGCACAAGUUGAGGAGGCUACCAAGCCAGCAGAAGAGUCCCCAGCACCAGUAGAGCCUGCACCAGUUGAAGACACCACAGCACCAGUAGAGGUUGCACCAGUUGAAGAGGCCCCAGCACCAGUAGAGGCUGCACCAGUUGAAGAGGCCCCAGCACCAGUAGAGGCUGCACCAGUUGAAGAGGCCCCGGCACCAGUAGAGGCUGCACCAGUUGUUGAGGAAGUCUUGGUACCAUCUGAACCUGAAGUUACCACAGCACUUGCUGAGGAACCAGUCACCACCGCAGUUGAUGAAGAGGCUCUGGCAACCAUCGCUGCAGAAGUAGCGACCCCUAUGGUGGUUGAAGAAGCGGCUACUGAGACCCUUGCAGAAGCUCCGAAGAGAGAGUACAUUGUUGUGGUCCUGGAAGGAACACCUAAAGCUGAUAAGUCACCCAAGGUGCUUGGAGUGGAGUCCAUGACUGGUAGAAUCAUCCCAACUCCAGACGACGACGUCUCUGCUUCUGAGUAA